GGACGGGUGAGUAACACGUAGGCAACCUGCCUGUAAGACUGGGAUAACUCGUGGAAACGCGAGCUAAUACCGGAUAACACUUUUCAUCUCCUGAUGAGAAGUUGAAAGGCGGCUUUUGCUGUCACUUACAGAUGGGCUGCGGCGCAUUAGCUAGUUGGUAAGGUAACGGCUUACCAAGGCGACGAUGCGUAGCCGACCUGAGAGGGUGAUCGGCCACACUGGGACUGAGACACGGCCCAGACUCCUACGGGAGGCAGCAGUAGGGAAUCUUCCGCAAUGGACGAAAGUCUGACGGAGCAACGCCGCGUGAGUGAUGAAGGUUUUCGGAUCGUAAAACUCUGUUGUUAGGGAAGAACAAGUACUAUAGUAACUGAUAGUACCUUGACGGUACCUAACCAGAAAGCCACGGCUAACUACGUGCCAGCAGCCGCGGUAAUACGUAGGUGGCAAGCGUUGUCCGGAAUUAUUGGGCGUAAAGCGCUCGCAGGCGGUUCUUUAAGUCUGAUGUGAAAUCUUACGGCUCAACCGUAAACGUGCAUUGGAAACUGGGGAACUUGAGUGCAGAAGAGGAGAGUGGAAUUCCACGUGUAGCGGUGAAAUGCGUAGAGAUGUGGAGGAACACCAGUGGCGAAGGCGACUCUCUGGUCUGUAACUGACGCUGAGGAGCGAAAGCGUGGGG
Molecule: ribosomal RNA, 679 nt
Filed under: Oceanobacillus sp. JAS11
Lineage: Bacteria; Bacillati; Bacillota; Bacilli; Caryophanales; Bacillaceae
Description: bacterial SSU rRNA
Rfam family: Bacterial small subunit ribosomal RNA
Source: RNAcentral